UGUGGGUGGCGAGUGGCGGACGGGUGAGUAAUGCAUCGGGACCUGCCCAGACGUGGGGGAUAACGUAGGGAAACUUACGCUAAUACCGCAUACGUCCUACGGGAGAAAGCGGGGGAUCGAAAGACCUCGCGCGGUUGGAUGGACCGAUGUUCGAUUAGCUAGUUGGUGAGGUAAUGGCUCACCAAGGCGACGAUCGAUAGCUGGUCUGAGAGGAUGAUCAGCCACACUGGGACUGAGACACGGCCCAGACUCCUACGGGAGGCAGCAGUGGGGAAUAUUGGACAAUGGGCGAAAGCCUGAUCCAGCAAUGCCGCGUGUGUGAAGAAGGCCUUCGGGUUGUAAAGCACUUUUAUCAGGAGCGAAAUACUGCCGGCUAAUACCCGGCGGGGCUGACGGUACCUGAGGAAUAAGCACCGGCUAACUUCGUGCCAGCAGCCGCGGUAAUACGAAGGUGCAAGCGUUAAUCGGAAUUACUGGGCGUAAAGCGUGCGUAGGCGGUUCUUUAAGUCUGCUGUGAAUCCCGGCUCACUGGGAAUGGCAGUGGAUACUGGAGAGCUAGAGUGUGAUAGAGGAUGGUGGAUUCCGGGUGUACGGUGAAUGCUAAGAUCGGGAGGAACAUCAUGGCGAAGGGCGGCAUCUGGAUCAACACUGACGCUGAGGCACGAAGCGUGGGG
Molecule: ribosomal RNA, 674 nt
Filed under: Dyella sp.
Lineage: Bacteria; Pseudomonadati; Pseudomonadota; Gammaproteobacteria; Lysobacterales; Rhodanobacteraceae
Description: bacterial SSU rRNA
Rfam family: Bacterial small subunit ribosomal RNA
Source: RNAcentral